GGGAGGCGACAAGAGUAGUAUACCUCGUAGUCGUACGUCCGUAAACGAUGAGUAGCUACGUGGUUGGUAGUCCUUUCCGGUACGUUCUAGUGCCGUCAGCUAAACGACAAUUAAAGUCGACUCCGCCGUGGGAGUACGACCGCAAGGUUGAAACUCAAAGGAAUUGACGGGGCCCGGCACAAGCGGUGGAGCGUAAUCGUGGUUUAAAUUCGAAGCAACGCGAAGUAACUUACCAGGUCUUGACAAUUCCCGGAUGCUAGUUUCUAGAGAUAGAAAGUUAACGUUCGGUACAUCGGUGACAGGUGGUGCAUGGUUGUCGUCAGCUCGUGUCGUGAGAUGUUUGGGGUUUAAAGUCCCCGCAAACGAGCGCAAACCCCUCGUGUUUUAGUUGCCCAUCAUUAAAGUUUGGGGCAGUCGUGGGGAGGCAAAGGCACACAGGGGGAUAGG
RNAcentral lists this ribosomal RNA (447 nucleotides) under uncultured bacterium. RNAcentral's name for it is "bacterial SSU rRNA". It matches the Rfam family "Bacterial small subunit ribosomal RNA", at positions 764 to 1181 of the family's 1533-position model. The record is from RNAcentral.